RNAcentral lists this ribosomal RNA (330 nucleotides) under uncultured bacterium. RNAcentral describes it as "bacterial SSU rRNA". It matches the Rfam family "Bacterial small subunit ribosomal RNA", at positions 568 to 898 of the family's 1533-position model. The record is from RNAcentral.
UCCGUAGGCGGUGUGGCGAGUCGGUAGUGAAAUCUCUCGGCUUAACUGAGAGGCUGCUGCCGAAACUGCCAUGCUCGAGUGCGAGAGAGGCGAGUGGAAUUGCGGGUGUAGCGGUGAAAUGCGUAGAUAUCUGCAGGAACAUCCGAGGCGAAAGCGGCUCGCUGGAUCGCAACUGACGCUGAGGGACGAAAGCUAGGGGAGCAAACAGGAUUAGAUACCCUGGUAGUCCUAGCCCUAAACCAUCAGGACUUGGGGUUUGCCCUGUACGGGGCAAGUCCCGGAGCUAACGCGUUAAGUCCUGCGCCUGGGGAGUACGGUCGCAAGGCUGAA